ACUCCUACGGGAGGCAGCAGUGGGGAAUCUUGGACAAUGGGCGCAAGCCUGAUCCAGCCAUGCCGCGUGAGUGAUGAAGGCCCUAGGGUCGUAAAGCUCUUUCGCCUGUGAAGAUAAUGACGGUAGCAGGUAAAGAAACCCCGGCUAACUCCGUGCCAGCAGCCGCGGUAAUACGGAGGGGGUUAGCGUUGUUCGGAAUUACUGGGGCGUAAAGCGCGCGUAGGCUGACUAUUAAGUCAGAGGUGAAAUCCCGGGGCUCAACCCCGGAACUGCCUUUGAUACUGGUAGUCUUGAGUUCGAGAGAGGUAAGUGGAAUUCCGAGUGUAGAGGUGAAAUUCGUAGAUAUCGGAGACACAGUGCGAGCGUCUACGUGCUCGAUACUGACGCUGAGGUGACG
Molecule: ribosomal RNA, 397 nt
Filed under: uncultured bacterium
Lineage: Bacteria
Description: bacterial SSU rRNA
Rfam family: Bacterial small subunit ribosomal RNA
Source: RNAcentral